Oncorhynchus keta (chum salmon) is the source of this 3932-nucleotide long non-coding RNA. RefSeq lists it as uncharacterized. The transcript has 9 exons. The record is from RefSeq and is a predicted model, not a curated record. NCBI's taxonomy places the organism in Eukaryota, Metazoa, Chordata, Actinopteri, Salmoniformes, Salmonidae.
AAUACCUUAUUUACAUGAGUAUUCACACCCUGGUUUUGUUUGUAAUAUACAGGUCUAAUAUACAGGUCUAAUAUACAGGUCUAUUAUACAGGUCUAAUAUACAGGUCAGGUCUAAUAUACAGGUCUAAUAUACAGGUCUAUUAUACAGGUCUAAUAUACAGGUCUAAUAUACAGGUCUAAUAUACAGGUCUAAUAUACAGGUCAGGUCUAAUAUACAGGUCUAAUAUACAGGUCUAUUAUACAGGUCUAAUAUACAGGUCUAAUAUACAGGUCUAUUAUACAGGUCUAAUAUACAGGUCUAAUAUACAGGUCUAUUAUACAGGUCUAAUAUACAGGUCAGGUCUAAUAUACAGGUCUAAUAUACAGGUCUAUUAUACAGGUCUAAUAUACAGGUCUAAUAUACAGGUCUAUUAUACAGGUCUAAUAUACAGGUCAGGUCUAAUAUACAGGUCUAAUAUACAGGUCAGGUCUAAUAUACAGGUCUAAUAUACAGGUCUAAUAUACAGGUCUAAUAUACAGGUCUAUUAUACAGGUCUAAUAUACAGGUCUAAUAUACAGGUCUAUUAUACAGGUCUAAUAUACAGGUCAGGUCUAAUAUACAGGUCUAAUAUACAGGUCAGGUCUAAUAUACAGGUCUAAUAUACAGGUCUAUUAUACAGGUCUAAUAUACAGGUCUAUUAUACAGGUCUAAUAUACAGGUCAGGUCUAAUAUACAGGUCUAAUAUACAGGUCUAUUAUACAGGUCUAAUAUACAGGUCUAAUAUACAGGUCUAUUAUACAGGUCUAAUAUACAGGUCAGGUCUAAUAUACAGGUCUAAUAUACAGGUCUAUUAUACAGGUCUAAUAUACAGGUCUAAUAUACAGGUCUAAUAUACAGGUCUAAUAUACAGGUCAGGUCUAAUAUACAGGUCUAAUAUACAGGUCUAUUAUACAGGUCUAAUAUACAGGUCUAUUAUACAGGUCUAAUAUACAGGUCUAAUAUACAGGUCUAAUAUACAGGUCUAAUAUACAGGUCUAUUAUACAGGUCUAAUAUACAGGUCUAUUAUACAGGUCUAAUAUACAGGUCUAAUAUACAGGUCUAAUAUACAGGUCUAAUAUACAGGUCAGGUCUAAUAUACAGGUCUAUUAUACAGGUCUAAUAUACAGGUCAGGUCUAAUAUACAGGUCUAAUAUACAGGUCAGGUCUAAUAUACAGGUCUAAUAUACAGGUCUAAUAUACAGGUCUAAUAUACAGGUCUAAUAUACAGGUCUAUUAUACAGGUCUAAUAUACAGGUCUAAUAUACAGGUCUAUUAUACAGGUCUAAUAUACAGGUCAGGUCUAAUAUACAGGUCUAAUAUACAGGUCUAUUAUACAGGUCUAAUAUACAGGUCUAAUAUACAGGUCUAAUAUACAGGUCUAAUAUACAGGUCAGGUCUAAUAUACAGGUCUAAUAUACAGGUCUAUUAUACAGGUCUAAUAUACAGGUCUAAUAUACAGGUCUAAUAUACAGGUCUAAUAUACAGGUCUAUUAUACAGGUCUAAUAUACAGGUCUGAUAUACAGGUCUAUUAUACAGGUCUGAUAUACAGGUCUAAUAUACAGGUCUAAUAUACAGGUCUAAUAUACAGGUCUAAUAUACAGGUCUAUUAUACAGGUCUAAUAUACAGGUCUAAUAUACAGGUCUAAUAUACAGGUCUAAUAUACAGGUCUAAUAUACAGGUCUAAUAUACAGGUCUAUUAUACAGGUCUAAUAUACAGGUCUAAUAUACAGGUCUAUUAUACAGGUCUAAUAUACAGGUCUAAUAUACAGGUCUAAUAUACAGGUCUAUUAUACAGGUCUAAUAUACAGGUCUAUUAUACAGGUCUAAUAUACAGGUCUAAUAUACAGGUCUAAUAUACAGGUCUAUUAUACAGGUCUAAUAUACAGGUCUAAUAUACAGGUCUAUUAUACAGGUCUAAUAUACAGGUCUAAUAUACAGGUCAGGUCUAAUAUACAGGUCUAAUAUACAGGUCUAAUAUACAGGUCUAAUAUACAGGUCUAUUAUACAGGUCUAUUAUACAGGUCUAAUAUACAGGUCUAAUAUACAGGUCUAAUAUACAGGUCUAAUAUACAGGUCUAAUAUACAGGUCUAAUAUACAGGUCUAUUAUACAGGUCUAUUAUACAGGUCUAUUAUACAGGUCAGGUCUAAUAUACAGGUCUAAUAUACAGGUCUAAUAUACAGGUCUAUUAUACAGGUCUAAUAUACAGGUCUAAUAUACAGGUCUAUUAUACAGGUCUGACAUACAGGUCUAAUAUACAGGUCUAAUAUACAGGUCUAAUAUACAGGUCUAAUAUACAGGUCUAAUAUACAGGUCUAAUAUACAGGUCAGGUCUAAUAUACAGGUCUGAUAUACAGGUCUAUUAUACAGGUCUAUUAUACAGGUCUAAUAUACAGGUCAGGUCUAAUAUACAGGUCUGAUAUACAGGUCUGAUAUACAGGUCUAAUAUACAGGUCUAAUAUACAGGUCUAAUAUACAGGUCUAAUAUACAGGUCUAAUAUACAGGUCUAAUAUACAGGUCUAAUAUACAGGUCUAAUAUACAGGUCUAAUAUACAGGUCUAAUAUACAGGUCAGGUCUAAUAUACAGGUCUGAUAUACAGGUCUAUUAUACAGGUCUAUUAUACAGGUCUAAUAUACAGGUCAGGUCUAAUAUACAGGUCUGAUAUACAGGUCUGAUAUACAGGUCUAAUAUACAGGUCUAAUAUACAGGUCAGGUCUAAUAUACAGGUCUAAUAUACAGGUCUAAUAUACAGGUCUAAUAUACAGGUCUAUUAUACAGGUCUAAUAUACAGGUCUAAUAUACAGGUCUAAUAUACAGGUCUAAUAUACAGGUCUAAUAUACAGGUCUAAUAUACAGGUCUAAUAUACAGGUCUAAUAUACAGGUCUAUUAUACAGGUCUAAUAUACAGGUCUAAUAUACAGGUCAGGUCUAAUAUACAGGUCUAAUAUACAGGUCAGGUCUAAUAUACAGGUCUAAUAUACAGGUCUAAUAUACAGGUCUAAUAUACAGGUCUAAUAUACAGGUCUAAUAUACAGGUCUAAUAUACAGGUCUAAUAUACAGGUCUAAUAUACAGGUCUAUUAUACAGGUCUAAUAUACAGGUCUAAUAUACAGGUCUAAUAUACAGGACUAAUAUACAGGUCUAAUAUACAGGUCUAAUAUACAGGUCUAAUAUACAGGUCUAAUAUACAGGUCUAAUAUACAGGUCUAAUAUACAGGUCUAAUAUACAGGUCUAAUAUACAGGUCUAAUAUUCAGGUCUAAUAUACAGGUCUAAUAUACAGGUCAGGUCUAAUAUACAGGUCUAAUAUACAGGUCUAAUAUACAGGUCUAAUAUACAGGUCUAAUAUUCAGGUCUAAUAUACAGGUCUAAUAUACAGGUCUAAUAUACAGGUCUGAUAUACAGGUCUAAUAUACAGGUCUAAUAUACAGGUCUAAUAUUCAGGUCUAAUAUACAGGUCUAAUAUACAGGUCAGGUCUAAUAUACAGGUCUAAUAUACAGGUCUAAUAUACAGGUCUAAUAUACAGGUCUAAUAUUCAGGUCUAAUAUACAGGUCUAAUAUACAGGUCUAAUAUACAGGUCUAAUAUACAGGUCUAAUAUACAGGUCUAAUAUACAGGUCUAAUAUACAGGUCUAAUAUACAGGUCUAAUAUACAGGUCUAAUAUUCAGGUCUAAUAUACAGGUCUAAUAUACAGGUCAGGUCUAAUAUAUAGGUCUAAUAUACAGGUCUAAUAUACAGGUCUAAUAUACAGGUCUAAUAUUCAGGUCUAAUAUACAGGUCUAAUAUACAGGUCUAAUAUACAGGUCUAAUAUUCAGGUCUAAUAUACAGGUCUAAUAUACAGGACAGGUCUAAUAUACAGGUCUAAUAUACAGGUCUAAUAUUCAGGUCUAAUAUACAGGUCUAAUAU